Molecule: ribosomal RNA, 2923 nt
Filed under: Campylobacter coli
Lineage: Bacteria; Pseudomonadati; Campylobacterota; Epsilonproteobacteria; Campylobacterales; Campylobacteraceae
Description: 23S ribosomal RNA
Rfam family: Bacterial large subunit ribosomal RNA
Source: RNAcentral
AAAAAAGGUAAGCUACUAAGAGCGAAUGGUGGAUGCCUUGACUGGUAAAGGCGAUGAAGGACGUACUAGACUGCGAUAAGCUACGGGGAGCUGUCAAGAAGCUUUGAUCCGUAGAUUUCCGAAUGGGGCAACCCAAUGUAUAGAGAUAUACAUUACCUAUAUAGGAGCGAACGAGGGGAAUUGAAACAUCUUAGUACCCUCAGGAAAAGAAAUCAAUAGAGAUUGCGUCAGUAGCGGCGAGCGAAAGCGUAAGAGGGCAAACCCAGUGCUUGCACUGGGGGUUGUAGGACUGCAAUGUGCAAGAGGUGAGUUUAGCAGAACAUUCUGGAAAGUAUAGCCAUAGAGGGUGAUAGUCCCGUAUGCGAAAAACAAACCUUAGCUAGCAGUAUCCUGAGUAGGGCGGGACACGAGAAAUCCUGUCUGAAGCUGGGUCGACCACGAUCCAACCCUAAAUACUAAUACCAGAUCGAUAGUGCACAAGUACCGUGAGGGAAAGGUGAAAAGAACUGAGGUGAUCAGAGUGAAAUAGAACCUGAAACCAUUUGCUUACAAUCAUUCAGAGCACUAUGUAGCAAUACAGUGUGAUGGACUGCCUUUUGCAUAAUGAGCCUGCGAGUUGUGGUGUCUGGCAAGGUUAAGCAAACGCGAAGCCGUAGCGAAAGCGAGUCUGAAUAGGGCGCUUAGUCAGAUGCUGCAGACCCGAAACGAAGUGAUCUAUCCAUGAGCAAGUUGAAGCUAGUGUAAGAACUAGUGGAGGACUGAACCCAUAGGCGUUGAAAAGCCCCGGGAUGACUUGUGGAUAGGGGUGAAAGGCCAAUCAAACUUCGUGAUAGCUGGUUCUCUCCGAAAUAUAUUUAGGUAUAGCGUUGUGUCGUAAUAUAAGGGGGUAGAGCACUGAAUGGGCUAGGGCAUACACCAAUGUACCAAACCCUAUCAAACUCCGAAUACCUUAUAUGUAAUCACAGCAGUCAGGCGGCGAGUGAUAAAAUCCGUCGUCAAGAGGGAAACAACCCAGACUACCAGCUAAGGUCCCUAAAUCUUACUUAAGUGGAAAACGAUGUGAAGUUACUUAAACAACCAGGAGGUUGGCUUAGAAGCAGCCAUCCUUUAAAGAAAGCGUAAUAGCUCACUGGUCUAGUGAUUUUGCGCGGAAAAUAUAACGGGGCUAAAGUAAGUACCGAAGCUGUAGACUUGAUUUUAUCAAGUGGUAGGAGAGCGUUCUAUUUGCGUCGAAGGUAUACCGGUAAGGAGUGCUGGAGCGAAUAGAAGUGAGCAUGCAGGCAUGAGUAGCGAUAAUUAAUGUGAGAAUCAUUAACGCCGUAAACCCAAGGUUUCCUACGCGAUGCUCGUCAUCGUAGGGUUAGUCGGGUCCUAAGUCGAGUCCGAAAGGGGUAGACGAUGGCAAAUUGGUUAAUAUUCCAAUACCAACAUUAGUGUGCGAUGGAAGGACGCUUAGGGCUAAGGGGGCUAGCGGAUGGAAGUGCUAGUCUAAGGUCGUAGGAGGUUAUACAGGCAAAUCCGUAUAACAAUACUCCGAGAACUGAAAGGCUUUUUGAAGUCUUCGGAUGGAUAGAAGAACCCCUGAUGCCAUCGAGCCAAGAAAAGUUUCUAAGUUUAGCUAAUGUUGCCCGUACCGUAAACCGACACAGGUGGGUGGGAUGAGUAUUCUAAGGCGCGUGGAAGAACUCUCUUUAAGGAACUCUGCAAAAUAGCACCGUAUCUUCGGUAUAAGGUGUGGUUCGCUUCGUAUUAGGAUUUACUCCGAAAGCGAAGAAACUUACAACAAAGAGUCCCUCCCGACUGUUUACCAAAAACACAGCACUCUGCUAACUCGUAAGAGGAUGUAUAGGGUGUGACGCCUGCCCGGUGCUCGAAGGUUAAUUGAUGGGGUUAGCAUUAGCGAAGCUCUUGAUCGAAGCCCGAGUAAACGGCGGCCGUAACUAUAACGGUCCUAAGGUAGCGAAAUUCCUUGUCGGUUAAAUACCGACCUGCAUGAAUGGCGUAACGAGAUGGGAGCUGUCUCAAAGAGGGAUCCAGUGAAAUUGUAGUGGAGGUGAAAAUUCCUCCUACCCGCGGCAAGACGGAAAGACCCCGUGGACCUUUACUACAGCUUGACACUGCUAUUUGGAUAAGAAUGUGCAGGAUAGGUGGGAGGCUUUGAGUAUAUGACGCCAGUUGUAUAUGAGCCAUUGUUGAGAUACCACUCUUUCUUAUUUGGGUAGCUAACCAGCUUGAGUUAUCCUCAAGUGGGACAAUGUCUGGUGGGUAGUUUGACUGGGGCGGUCGCCUCCCAAAUAAUAACGGAGGCUUACAAAGGUUGGCUCAGAACGGUUGGAAAUCGUUCGUAGAGUAUAAAGGUAUAAGCCAGCUUAACUGCAAGACAUACAAGUCAAGCAGAGACGAAAGUCGGUCUUAGUGAUCCGGUGGUUCUGUGUGGAAGGGCCAUCGCUCAAAGGAUAAAAGGUACCCCGGGGAUAACAGGCUGAUCUCCCCCAAGAGCUCACAUCGACGGGGAGGUUUGGCACCUCGAUGUCGGCUCAUCGCAUCCUGGGGCUGGAGCAGGUCCCAAGGGUAUGGCUGUUCGCCAUUUAAAGCGGUACGCGAGCUGGGUUCAGAACGUCGUGAGACAGUUCGGUCCCUAUCUGCCGUGGGCGUAAGAAGAUUGAAGAGAUUUGACCCUAGUACGAGAGGACCGGGUUGAACAAACCACUGGUGUAGCUGUUGUUCUGCCAAGAGCAUCGCAGCGUAGCUAAGUUUGGAAAGGAUAAACGCUGAAAGCAUCUAAGCGUGAAGCCAACUCUAAGAUGAAUCUUCUCUAAGCUCUCUAGAAGACUACUAGUUUGAUAGGCUGGGUGUGUAAUGGAUGAAAGUCCUUUAGCUGACCAGUACUAAUAGAGCGUUUGGCUUAUCUUUAAUAAAGCAU